RNAcentral lists this long non-coding RNA (293 nucleotides) under Numida meleagris (helmeted guineafowl). Its description in RNAcentral is "lncRNA (ENSNMEG00000006822.1)". Lineage: Eukaryota; Metazoa; Chordata; Aves; Galliformes; Numididae. The record is from RNAcentral.
GAAGAACAAAACACGUGAACUCUAGGUUCCUUGGAAGGUUAUGUUUCUAGGAGCUCUUCUUGGAUUUGUCUGGCAGGCUUGGAAUCCAUCCAGGGGAUGCAUGGAGCCAGCUGAGGAUGACAUUGUGGUCCAGCUGAAUAUGUCUGCUACCAAAACAGUUCUUCAGAGUCACCUGGAAGCCUCACAGGGAGCUAAAUGCUGGACACCCACAGAAGCCCUUCCCAUCCUGCCUGCCUGGAGGUUUGUGAUGAGUGAAUAUCCCUGUACCCAUCUAAAAAGAAAAGAACCCUAAC